This is a long non-coding RNA of Harpia harpyja (harpy eagle), 1239 nucleotides long. RefSeq lists it as uncharacterized. The transcript is spliced from 4 exons. The record is from RefSeq and is a predicted model, not a curated record. NCBI's taxonomy places the organism in Eukaryota, Metazoa, Chordata, Aves, Accipitriformes, Accipitridae.
CAGCCUCCCGCUAACCAAGCACCGGGGGGGGGGGGGCGGGGGCGAAAACGCGCCCUCCGAAGGGGAACCUGUGGGGCUGACGGCAGGGCCCUGCCUGGAGCCGGGACCCGUCGGGGCUGUGGUGCCGCUGAGGGGAGGCGCUGCCGGGGCCGCGCCUUCACCAGCCGCCUGCCUGCGGGAGGAGGGCCCUUAACACUUCAAAAGAGCCCUUAAAAAAAAAAAAAAAAAAAACCACCUGUAAACGGCUGUUUUCUUUCGCAGGCUGCAGCGCUUCCUCGAUCUCGCUGGGAGCCGCCCGGCCGGCAGCCGUGCCCGCGGAAGCGGCGUGGGGCGGUGGCGGCGCGGUGGCUUUGCAUACCGAAACCGCAGCCCCGGCUGGCACCUGAGGCGCUGUCCAGGAAAGCGCCGGUUCCCCUUUCGCUCACCGGGUGACUUGGGUUUCCUUCUCUUCCCCCCUGCCCGCCUCAGGGCUUUGCGGCGGCGGGGGGGGGGCGGGUGAGCGCCGGGGCUCCCGCCUCGGCCGCCACCGCGUGCCAAGCGCGGGUCUGAGGCGGUGGGGCUGGGGGUGAAAACAGUCUCGGCUCCUGUUUUAAACACCUGCUUUUUACAAGCCCUCCGAGCAAAACGAAACAAAAACAACCAAAAACACCCCAACCUGAAAAUGUAAUUUCACGGUCUUGCCUAUCUCUGUAGCGUGUUUACGCCAGAACACGCUGCAUCCGAAGUGCCGUGCUGGUGCCUGUGUCAGGACUUGAAGAGGGGCUGCAGGCUUAGUUCAUCUAAACAAGCACGCGACAGCUUCCGAGGUCAACACCUGGUACACAGAGAAUGCUAAGGUUUUAGAAGCAUCACACUCAAAUCAACAAUUCUUUAUGCAUUUUUAAUCAAGUCCUUCAGCCUUGAAAUAAAUCAAAAUGACUAAAAGAAAGAGAUUUUUCUGCUGGAUCUUAAUGAGUUAAUUUCUCCCACCUGCAGCAUUUCCUCCAAAGCAAGCACCAAGUUUAUUUUUACAGCUGAAUUCCCAAAUAACAGAAAGAAGAUACUAAGAAAAAAUGCUGGCUUUAGAAAAGUGGGAAACGAGCCUUAAUUCUUCUAAGCUAUCUGAAAUAAUUUCCAGGUGAGAAGACAGUAUUGGACUCCUUAUACUGAUUUUAAAUCUUUUCCUAUCUAGGGCUUUUACAAGGAGAGCACUAAGUCUUAAAUUACCUUUUCAGGAAAUAAAAGUGCAGCUUUUGUUAA